Molecule: unclassified non-coding RNA, 338 nt
Filed under: soil metagenome
Description: partial contains 5.8S ribosomal RNA, internal transcribed spacer 2, and large subunit ribosomal RNA
Rfam family: 5.8S ribosomal RNA (bases 2-121)
Source: RNAcentral
GGAUGAAGAACGUAGCGAAAUGCGAUAAGUAAUGUGAAUUGCAGAAUUCAGUGAAUCAUCGAAUCUUUGAACGCACAUUGCGCCCCUUGGUAUUCCGAGGGGCAUGCCUGUUCGAGCGUCAUUACACCACUCAAGCUAUGCUUGGUAUUGGGUGUCGUCCUUAGUUGGGCGCGCCUUAAAGACCUCGGCGAGGCCUCCCCGGCUUUAGGCGUAGUAGAAUUUAUUCGAACGUCUGUCAAAGGAGAGGAACUCUGCCGACUGAAACCUUUAUUUUUACAGGUUGACCUCGGAUCAGGUAGGGAUACCCGCUGAACUUAAGCAUAUCAAUAAGCGGAGGA